RNAcentral lists this ribosomal RNA (460 nucleotides) under uncultured bacterium. RNAcentral describes it as "partial 16S ribosomal RNA". It matches the Rfam family "Bacterial small subunit ribosomal RNA", at positions 338 to 795 of the family's 1533-position model. The record is from RNAcentral.
CCUACGGGAGGCAGCAGUGAGGAAUAUUGGUCAAUGGACGAGAGUCUGAACCAGCCAAGUAGCGUGAAGGAUGACUGCCCUAUGGGUUGUAAACUUCUUUUAUAUGGGAAUAAAAUGAUCCACGUGUGGGAUUUUGUAUGUACCAUAUGAAUAAGGAUCGGCUAACUCCGUGCCAGCAGCCGCGGUAAUACGGAGGAUCCGAGCGUUAUCCGGAUUUAUUGGGUUUAAAGGGAGCGUAGGUGGGUUGUUAAGUCAGUUGUGAAAGUUUGCGGCUCAACCGUAAAAUUGCAGUUGAUACUGGCAGUCUUGAGUACAGUAGAGGUAGGCGGAAUUCGUGGUGUAGCGGUGAAAUGCUUAGAUAUCACGAAGAACUCCGAUUGCGAAGGCAGUUCACUGGACUGCAACUGACACUGAGGCUCGAAAGUGUGGGUAUCAAACAGGAUUAGAUACCCGAGUAGUC